RNAcentral lists this ribosomal RNA (140 nucleotides) under uncultured eukaryote. RNAcentral describes it as "partial 18S ribosomal RNA". It matches the Rfam family "Eukaryotic small subunit ribosomal RNA", at positions 1299 to 1458 of the family's 1831-position model. The record is from RNAcentral.
UGGUGGAGUGAUUUGUCUGCUUAAUUGCGCUAACGAACGAGACCUCAGCCUACUAACUAGUCUUACUACGCCCUGCGUAUGUAACUGACUUCUUAGAGGGACUAUCGGUGCUAAACCGAUGGAAGUUUGAGGCAAUAACA